Molecule: non-coding RNA, 46 nt
Organism: Strigamia maritima
Lineage: Eukaryota; Metazoa; Arthropoda; Chilopoda; Geophilomorpha; Linotaeniidae
Source: Rfam
CUUCCGGCGCCUGUUGGCGCCAUCUACAGUGAAAUACAGAAAUAAU